Molecule: long non-coding RNA, 811 nt
Organism: Musca domestica (house fly)
Lineage: Eukaryota; Metazoa; Arthropoda; Insecta; Diptera; Muscidae
Exons: 3
Source: RefSeq, a predicted model, not a curated record
CUGAGUCUUGUUGGAAUGUUCAAGGUCUGCGGCCAAAAUGUUUGCGUGCCCAAUGCUUUAAUACGCCUUCCAGAAUAUUUUCGCGAUAAUAUUCGUUCGAUUAAUACGAGCGGAGAGCGACCAUCGGCUGCUAUGGCGGCCCACACCAUCACCAUGGCCGGCGCUUGAGUUAUAGUGGCCAACCGAAGGUGCACAUUUUCAGCCGACCUCUUUGGCAAGUAAAUAUCAUCAUUUUGUUUGUUUACAAACAAAAGAUUUAUUCACAAGUGCUCUAACGAUAGCUACUUGUGGUUUUCUAGCCAAAUAUAAAGAAAACUCACUAUCACGUUUGAAUUCCAUCACGAAUAACUUUUUUUCUGUAAAAUUCUCACCAAAAUGCUUUUGUACGCUUGUAAACAAUAUAAUGAGCUGUCACUGGAAUAAUUCUAAAAGCUGUCGGACGAGUGGCCUAGAAAUGACAGCAGUAUGAGAUUGGUUGCAGUUUUUACAUCUCACCCUGUAUAACAAUCUACUUACUUUUGAAAAAAAAAAAAAAAAACAUUUUAAAAUUUUCAAUGUUUCCAAGUAUUGAUACAUCUAUCAGUACUCUUCUACCAUGGGCCCAUGGUACAAUGAUAUCAAGAGUGGCUGCGUAUGCGUAAACGAAAGCAAUCAUACAAUCUUGCUAAGCUGCGGGAAAUUCUCACCACAUAACGGAUUAUAAAAAACACGAUUUAUGUUUCUUAUUAAGACGUUUACAUUGCCUGAGUAGGAAAAACAUCAUGAUUUUAAUGGUUAUUGGAUUGGUCGAUAGACGCCAGAUUAAAUUUUG